AUGACGGUAAAGGCACGGCCUCCAACGAGACCUGUGGGCACGGCCAUGUUGGGGGCGGGGCUUCCGGUCACCCGCGCCGGUGGUUUCCGCCCUGUAGGCCCGCCUCUCCAGCAACCUGACACCUGUGCCGCGCCCCUUCACUGCGUUCCCCGCCCCUGCAGCGGCCGCAGUGGUGCGGCGGGCGGCCGAGCGUUCUGAGUCACCCGGGACUGGAGGCAGGAACCCAGCCAUGGUGAACGAAGCCAGAGGAAACAGCAGCCUCAACCCCUGCUUGGAGGGCAGUGCCAGCAGUGGCAGUGAGAGCUCCAAAGACAGUUCGAGAUGUUCCACCCCGGGCCUGGACCCCGAGCGGCAUGAGAGACUCCGAGAGAAGAUGAGGCGGCGAUUGGAAUCUGGUGACAAGUGGUUCUCCCUGGAAUUCUUCCCUCCUCGAACUGCUGAGGGAGCUGUCAAUCUCAUCUCAAGAAACAAACCCCCUACAGGUUUGACCGGAUGGCAGCAGGCGGCCCCCUCUACAUAGAUGUGACCUGGCACCCAGCAGGUGACCCU
This 549-nucleotide small RNA is filed under the name Pongo abelii (Sumatran orangutan). RNAcentral describes it as "processed transcript". Lineage: Eukaryota; Metazoa; Chordata; Mammalia; Primates; Hominidae. The record is from RNAcentral.